GUUCUUGCUUAGGAGGCACAUAUAUAAAAUUGGAAUGAUACAGAGAUUAGUAUGGCCCCUGUGCAAGGAUGACAUGCAAAUUCAUGAAGUGUUGCAUAUUUUU
RNAcentral lists this small nuclear RNA (103 nucleotides) under Mus caroli (Ryukyu mouse). The record is from RNAcentral. Lineage: Eukaryota; Metazoa; Chordata; Mammalia; Rodentia; Muridae.